This is a long non-coding RNA of Heterocephalus glaber (naked mole-rat), 451 nucleotides long. The record is from Ensembl. Lineage: Eukaryota; Metazoa; Chordata; Mammalia; Rodentia; Bathyergidae.
ACUUCUAUAUGACAAGGCAAAGACGCCUACUGGGAACUCUUGUGGCUGGAGGCCAGAGGAGGGUUCUUUUCCUGCUCUUGGGAACACACCCAGUUGACACAAGAGGAAAACCAGAACAGUUGGGCAGUUAAUACUGCAAGAAGAAACCUAACCAGUGAUGAAUGCAGCAUUGCUUGACUACCUCCAGUGACCUGAAGCUUACUCCUUUGAUAUUCCUUUUCCUUUGGAGACAUCUCCAAGCAGUAAGAUAUUUUUUCUCCAGUAAUGAAGGUUCUCUUGGAGUCAUGGAGGAAGGAUGAACACAUUUCUAUGAAGAGAGAUGAACCCCACUAUAACCUCUGGAAAGCAGAAAACUCAGCCCCAGGCAGGUGAAGGCUUCAUCUAGACAGCUGGAGGCCUGAUGAGAGCAAAGCACAAGUCUCCCCGGGGAAGAGAGAAUUCCACAGCAGGC